Molecule: ribosomal RNA, 253 nt
Filed under: uncultured bacterium
Lineage: Bacteria
Description: partial 16S ribosomal RNA
Rfam family: Bacterial small subunit ribosomal RNA
Source: RNAcentral
UACGUAGGGUGCAAGCGUUAAUCGGAAUUACUGGGCGUAAAGCGCGUGUAGGCUGCGACGUAAGUCAGGUGUGAAAGCCCUCAGCUUAACUGAGGAAGUGCACUUGAUACUGCGUCGCUUGAGUGUCGGAGGGGGUGGCGGAAUUCCCGGUGUAGAGGUGAAAUUCGUAGAUAUCGGGAGGAACACCUGUGGCGAAGGCGGCCGACCUGGACGACAACUGACGUGAGCACGCGAAAGCGUGGGGAGCGAACAG